AGUGAACGCUGGCGGUAGGCCUAACACAUGCAAGUCGAACGGCAGCACAGUAAGAGCUUGCUCUUACGGGUGGCGAGUGGCGGACGGGUGAGGAAUACAUCGGAAUCUACUUUUUCGUGGGGGAUAACGUAGGGAAACUUACGCUAUACCGCAUACGACCUACGGGUGAAAGCAGGGGAUCUUCGGACCUUGCGCGAUUGAAUGAGCCGAUGUCGGAUUAGCUAGUUGGCGGGGUAAAGGCCCACCAAGGCGACGAUCCGUAGCUGGUCUGAGAGGAUGAUCAGCCACACUGGAACUGAGACACGGUCCAGACUCCUACGGGAGGCAGCAGUGGGGAAUAUUGGACAAUGGGCGCAAGCCUGAUCCAGCCAUACCGCGUGGGUGAAGAAGGCCUUCGGGUUGUAAAGCCCUUUUGUUGGGAAAGAAAAGCAGCAGGUUAAUACCCCGCUGUUCUGGCGGUACCCAAAGAAUAAGCACCGGCUAACUUCGUG
Molecule: ribosomal RNA, 491 nt
Filed under: uncultured bacterium
Lineage: Bacteria
Description: partial 16S ribosomal RNA
Rfam family: Bacterial small subunit ribosomal RNA
Source: RNAcentral